Molecule: ribosomal RNA, 616 nt
Filed under: uncultured fungus
Lineage: Eukaryota; Fungi
Description: eukaryotic LSU rRNA
Rfam family: 5.8S ribosomal RNA (bases 248-401)
Source: RNAcentral
CUUGGUCAUUUAGAGGAAGUAAAAGUCGUAACAAGGUUUCCGUAGGUGAACCUGCGGAAGGAUCAUUAAACAUCAUCGGGGGGUUGGAUCCAGAUUGUCGGGCUUCGGUCUUGCCUUCUGCCCUUCCCUUACUGAUUUUACCCAUGUCUUUUGCGUACUAUUUGUUUCCUUGGUGGGCUUGCCCGCCGAUAGGACAUCAUUAAACCUUUUGUAAUUGCAGUCAGCGUCAGAAAAACAUAAUAAUUACAACUUUUAACAACGGAUCUCUUGGUUCUGGCAUCGAUGAAGAACGCAGCGAAAUGCGAUAAGUAGUGUGAAUUGCAGAAUUCAGUGAAUCAUCGAAUCUUUGAACGCACAUUGCGCCCCUUGGUAUUCCAUGGGGCAUGCCUGUUCGAGCGUCAUUUGUACCCUCAAGCUCUGCUUGGUGUUGGGUGUUUGUCCCGCUUUUCGCGUGGACUCGCCUUAAAACAAUUGGCAGCCGGCAUAUUGGCCUGGAGCGCAGCACAUUUUGCGCCUCUUGUCAUGAUUGUUGGCAUCCAUCAAGACCAUUUUUUGCUCUUGACCUCGGAUCAGGUAGGGAUACCCGCUGAACUUAAGCAUAUCAAUAAGCGGAGAA